AUCCAGAUGACGAGUCGGAAAUAGGACGAAACCCGAGUACUGGAU
This is a non-coding RNA of Schistosoma mattheei, 45 nucleotides long. Lineage: Eukaryota; Metazoa; Platyhelminthes; Trematoda; Strigeidida; Schistosomatidae. The record is from Rfam.